This 433-nucleotide ribosomal RNA is filed under the name uncultured bacterium. RNAcentral's name for it is "partial 16S ribosomal RNA". It matches the Rfam family "Bacterial small subunit ribosomal RNA", at positions 29 to 507 of the family's 1533-position model. The record is from RNAcentral.
AACGAACGCUGGCGGCAGGCCUAACACAUGCAAGUCGAGCGAGGACUUCGGUUCUAGCGGCGGACGGGUGAGUAACGCGUGGGAAUGUGCCCUUCUCUACGGAAUAGCCCUGGGAAACUGGGAGUAAUACCGUAUACGCCCUAUUGGGGAAAGAUUUAUCGGAGAAGGAUCAGCCCGCGUUGGAUUAGGUAGUUGGUGGGGUAAUGGCCUACCGAGCCGACGAUCCAUAGCUGGUUUGAGAGGAUGAUCAGCCACACUGGGACUGAGACACGGCCCAGACUCCUACGGGAGGCAGCAGUGGGGAAUCUUAGACAAUGGGGGCAACCCUGAUCUAGCCAUGCCGCGUGAGUGAUGAAGGCCUUAGGGUUGUAAAGCUCUUUCAGCUGGGAAGAUAAUGACGGUACCAGCAGAAGAAGCCCCGGCUAACUCCGUG